This 73-nucleotide transfer RNA is filed under the name Anaerolineaceae bacterium. Its description in RNAcentral is "tRNA-Arg". It matches the Rfam family "tRNA". Rfam says of the family: Transfer RNA (tRNA) molecules are approximately 80 nucleotides in length. Their secondary structure includes four short double-helical elements and three loops (D, anti-codon, and T loops). Lineage: Bacteria; Bacillati; Chloroflexota; Anaerolineae; Anaerolineales; Anaerolineaceae. The record is from RNAcentral. RNAcentral also lists the same sequence under 1 other name.
GCCCGCGUAGCUCAAUGGAUAGAGUACCUGACUUCGAAUCAGAUGGUUGGGGGUUCGAGUCCCUCCGCGGGUA